This 277-nucleotide transfer-messenger RNA is filed under the name Galdieria sulphuraria. It matches the Rfam family "transfer-messenger RNA". Rfam says of the family: Bacterial tmRNA, also known as 10Sa RNA or SsrA, is named for its dual tRNA and mRNA-like properties. The record is from Rfam by way of RNAcentral. Lineage: Eukaryota; Rhodophyta; Bangiophyceae; Galdieriales; Galdieriaceae.
GGGACUGCUAUGGUCUUGACGCUAAUUAAGAUAUAUUUUAUGAUGCAAGUCGAGAGAUUAAACUCUCGUUAAUCAAAUAUAAAAUUAAAUGCAAACAAUAUUAUCAAAUUCUCUAGAUCUUGUGUAUUUACAGCAUAAAGAAUUUUAUAUAGAUAAAACCAAUUUUAUAUAAUUUAUAAUACUCAUUUGUCUUCUAAGUAAGUGAAACUUACUAAACUUGUGAAUGAAUAAAAUAUAUCUGAUUAACGGACGUGGGUUCGAAUCCCACCAGUUCCAA